GCGGCAGGCUUAACACAUGCAAGUCGAGCGGAUGAAGGUAGCUUGCUACUGGAUUCAGCGGCGGACGGGUGAGUAAUGCUUAGGAAUCUGCCUAUUAGUGGGGGACAACGUUCCGAAAGGAGCGCUAAUACCGCAUACGUCCUACGGGAGAAAGCAGGGGACCUUUGGGCCUUGCGCUAAUAGAUGAGCCUAAGUCGGAUUAGCUAGUUGGUAGGGUAAAGGCCUACCAAGGCGACGAUCUGUAGCGGGUCUGAGAGGAUGAUCCGCCACACUGGGACUGAGACACUGCCCAGACUCCUACGGGAGGCAGCAGUGGGGAAUAUUGGACAAUGGGGGGAACCCUGAUCCAGCCUUGCCGCGUGUGUGAAGAAGGUCUUUUGGUUGUUAAG
This 389-nucleotide ribosomal RNA is filed under the name Acinetobacter baumannii. Its description in RNAcentral is "bacterial SSU rRNA". It matches the Rfam family "Bacterial small subunit ribosomal RNA", at positions 39 to 430 of the family's 1533-position model. Lineage: Bacteria; Pseudomonadati; Pseudomonadota; Gammaproteobacteria; Moraxellales; Moraxellaceae. The record is from RNAcentral.